This 532-nucleotide long non-coding RNA is filed under the name Marmota monax (woodchuck). The record is from RNAcentral. Lineage: Eukaryota; Metazoa; Chordata; Mammalia; Rodentia; Sciuridae.
CUAUGACUGAAAUCCUGUGUCAAAAAGGGGACUGGUGGUUUCCAGGGCCAGGGACAGAAAUGAGGAGGCCCAGCCAGGAAAUGUUGGAGCUGGAUGGGGGUGCCGGUGGCACCACACGGAGGAUGUACCCAGUGCUCCUGCUUCUUUUCCCUUGGCGAGGCUGAGUCCCGUGAGCCACACCUCAGGACAAAAAUGACUUGUUAAUCAAGACUUGUUUGGGGAAGAAAGGAGUGAAAGCCAGGAUCAAUAGCUCAGCCCCCUUCUGAGGGCGCUUCCAGGUCUCGAGUACCCCACACUCUGGCCCCACAACCCCGCGUAUGGAAUUGAGCUUUUAGUGCUAAGAUCUUAAUACAAAAGGGAAAACCUGAGCACAAGGGCACAGCGCUACAGGCUGGAAAACGGUUGAAUUAACUCCUACGUAUCAGGUGAUGAUGGGCCCAGGCCCUUGAAGUUAAGAUGUUUUCUUUCAAAACACGCAUCUUUACAUCUUUAUUUUAUAUAUAUAUUUUUUUUUCUUUUUUUUUUCUUUUGC